Coturnix japonica (Japanese quail) is the source of this 138-nucleotide small nucleolar RNA. NCBI's taxonomy places the organism in Eukaryota, Metazoa, Chordata, Aves, Galliformes, Phasianidae. The record is from Ensembl.
CUUCCCAUUAUACUACCGCUUUUUCAAUCUCCAGAGGAAGUGGCUAUGCUUGUGGGAUAGAGCAAAAACUUGCCACGGUCUGAAGGAAAAGGUUGAUUGUAUCUUUUUUCCUAUAUGAAGUUGGCAGAACAUCACAUG